RNAcentral lists this transfer RNA (71 nucleotides) under Eremothecium sinecaudum. RNAcentral describes it as "tRNA-Trp". It matches the Rfam family "tRNA". From Rfam's summary of the family: Transfer RNA (tRNA) molecules are approximately 80 nucleotides in length. Their secondary structure includes four short double-helical elements and three loops (D, anti-codon, and T loops). Further hydrogen bonds mediate the characteristic L-shaped molecular structure. tRNAs have two regions of fundamental functional importance: the anti-codon, which is responsible for specific mRNA codon recognition, and the 3' end, to which the tRNAs corresponding amino acid is attached (by aminoacyl-tRNA synthetases). tRNAs cope with the degeneracy of the genetic code in two manners: having more than one tRNA (with a specific anti-codon) for a particular amino acid; and 'wobble' base-pairing, i.e. permitting non-standard base-pairing at the 3rd anti-codon position. Lineage: Eukaryota; Fungi; Ascomycota; Saccharomycetes; Saccharomycetales; Saccharomycetaceae. The record is from RNAcentral.
AAGAAUAUAGUAUAAUGGUAUAACAAUUGAUUUCAAAUCAAUCGAUAGGAGUUCGAAUCUCUUUAUUCUUG